UGUUCUGAAAGGUUAUGUGACACCUAUGAC
This 30-nucleotide non-coding RNA is filed under the name Mus musculus (house mouse). Lineage: Eukaryota; Metazoa; Chordata; Mammalia; Rodentia; Muridae. The record is from RNAcentral.